AAAAGGUAUUACAUACCAGAUAAAAAGAUAGAAGCCAGGCUGAACAUUGUGAUCCUACAGCAGAUAUGCCAAGUGCUUCCUCAUGAAAUGGAUAGUAGUGUCGCUGAUGAAAAAAGUAGAUCGGCCAAUCUAGGUAGCAUCAGAAGUGGUCUCCAUCAGAAAGUAAACUGCCUAAUGCCAUCUUCCGAGAAGGCUGGACAUGCAAAAAUUGACAAGAAAGUAGUGUUGGACAGUUCGCUCUUCAACAAUGAAUAAAUUCAUUUUAUUACUGUAUAGCCAUGGUGGCAAUCUUUUUCGGAUAACAAGAAACAAUUUGCUCAAAUAAUCUCAGCAGAGAUAACAUUGCGGUCUAUCAGGAAAAAAAGUUAGCUAUUUAAUUAAAUAGAAAACUCUGUCACUCAUUGCAACAGAUGCUAAACAAUUAGACUAACUGACAGAAAAGUAUAUAUAGAGUAGUUACAUUUCUUUAUUCCAAAAACAGAUGAUGGAUGUUAAUCGUACAAGAACACGAGGAUGACGAACAUAAAUUGAUCACAUAUAUUAUCACCACGGGUCGAUUUAAUUGGUGGUAAUUUUUCUUUGCGAUGGAAACAAAGUGGAAUCAAAUGAUUCAAACAACCAAAAGAAAGGGAACAAAGGAUGCUUACGGAGCUGAAUGAGUCAGGGUGCUCUACUACUGAAUUGCAAGUAAUAAUAGGUAGAUCCAGCGACUCAGUGGCAGAUGUUAAUCGACCCCACAAUGUCAGGCAGCCGCCCUUUCUUUGCCCGGAAGUCACCACUGAAAUUACAGCAAGAAAUAUGAAGUAAUUUGUAUCUUCCAUGUUGGGGCUGUACCAGUGCAUUGACUCCGUCAAUGCACCAACCUGGAAGAAGAAGAACUGUUUGUGGAGUGGGGAAUUUCUUUUCUGAGGAGAAAAAUGUUUAGUACGUCUCUAAGUUACUGAACUGUCCCCCUAGACAAAGAUGAGUUUAAUAUUGCCCGUUGACACAGAGAAGGCCUACUAUCACAUACCGCUUAUUGGACUGUCUAACAUUAGUCUCAUUCCAAAGCCCACAUAUCCAGCAAAGAAGCUUACAUCAAAGAGAAAGCUACAAAUUGGAUGAUUGGUCUCUAUGAAAUUGAUGUUAUACUUAUUUUAUUUUCGAAAAGGGGAUUACCCCAGCCUCUGCAUCAAAUGAUGCACACAGCCGUGCCAUAUUAUUAAACAUAAAUCAAGUUCCAGUCAGCAAGUUCCAGACUUAUUUCAUCAAGUAGUUUUCUUCUAUUUGAACUCAAUUUCUUCAAUUGCUCUGAGCCGUGAGCUUAUAUUAGCCGGGAGCUCAUAUAUAUUUGGCGUUGUGAACUCAUUUUAGUUUUAUUUAUGAAAUCAUUAUGUGAACUCCUUACUUUUUUUGGGAGAUGUGAAUUCAGAUUCAUCUAUGAAUCAUGGUUGAAGAGUCCCUUGCCAAUGUACGAAGGUCUACAUACGUGUGCCACUUCUACCUACAAUUCCAUUGCUGCUUUUGAAUAAGAUACAACAAGUGCAACAAAACAGAUUGCAGCAAGUAGCUUAUGGACUGAAAUUUGCAAUAUUACUCAUUUGUCAUAUUGUCGCUCAUUUGAUCCUGGCUGUGAAACUAAACGUGACAUGCUAUUCUUCAUGUAAUUUCCAAAUCGCAAUCCAUAAUCAAGCAAAAGAUUACAACAAACGUGACUUACAUGUUGCUUGCAUUCAACAUCUUCAGGACCUACACACGCAUCCAUCUCCUCCUCCGGCCGCUGCUGCCAUCACGCCACUUGCUCAGGACCUGCACAAGGCAUCGUCUUCUCUUAAGCACCACCCUCUCCACUAAAACACUUCUCUAGCAGGGGAGGGCGAGUUGCGCCAAUGAGCCGAGGGGAUGGCAAGCACCCGCAGAGAGCUGCGCUAUCACGCGCAGGCGUGGGGGAGAACCCGCAGCGAGCUGCGGUAUCUAGCGCAGGCAUCCGCGAGGCGAGGACGAACUGCGCCGGCGCCUGCAGACGUGGACGAGAACCGGCAGCGAGUCGCAGUGGCUCGCUCGGGCAUCAGCGUGGGUGAGCACCGUCAGGGAGCUACGGUUGCUCGCACAGGCGUGGGCAAGCUAGGGCGGAGAGCUGCUGUGGCUUGCGCUGGCAGCGGUGAGGUUCGACGACGAGCAACCCGUGACGACAAGAGCGAGGUAGCCUGAGAGCAAUCCUUAUCCAACCAGUCCACACGCAUCAGAUAAGGUUAGAUAGGAUCAGGGGCACUUUGGUCUUUCAGGUGCCUAGAAAAUGGAAAAGAAAAAGGGAAAGUAAU
Molecule: long non-coding RNA, 2300 nt
Filed under: Triticum aestivum (bread wheat)
Lineage: Eukaryota; Viridiplantae; Streptophyta; Magnoliopsida; Poales; Poaceae
Description: long non-coding RNA (TAES_LNC019453)
Source: RNAcentral